This 491-nucleotide ribosomal RNA is filed under the name uncultured bacterium. RNAcentral's name for it is "bacterial SSU rRNA". It matches the Rfam family "Bacterial small subunit ribosomal RNA", at positions 40 to 507 of the family's 1533-position model. The record is from RNAcentral.
CGGCGUGCCUAACACAUGCAAGUCGUACGAGAAAGUUGGCUUCGGCCGAUGAGUACAGUGGCGCACGGGUGAGUAACGCGUGGAUAAUCUGCCCUUAAGUGUGGAAUAACGUACCGAAAGGUGCGCUAAUACCGCAUAAUGCCUGGCAACAUAAGUUGUCCGGCCAAAGAAGGCCUCUGCUUGCAAGCUUUCGCUAAAGGAUGAGUCCGCGUACCAUUAGCUAGUUGGUGGGGUAACGGCCUACCAAGGCGACGAUGGUUAGCUGGUCUGAGAGGAUGAUCAGCCACACUGGAACUGAGACACGGUCCAGACUCCUACGGGAGGCAGCAGUGAGGAAUAUUGCGCAAUGGGGGCAACCCUGACGCAGCAACGCCGCGUGAGUGAGGAAGGUUUUCGGACUGUAAAGCUCUGUCGAGCGGGAAGAAGUGUACCAUGGCUAAUAUCCAUGAUAUUUGACGGUACCGCUAGAGGAAGCACCGGCUAACUCCGUG